UAGGGAAUCUUCCACAAUGGACGCAAGUCUGAUGGAGCAACGCCGCGUGAGUGAAGAAGGUUUUCGGACCGUAAAGCUCUGUUGUUGGUGAAGAAGGAUAGAGGUAGUAACUGGCCUUUAUUUGACGGUAAUCAACCAGAAAGUCACGGCUAACUACGUGCCAGCAGCCGCGGUAAUACGUAGGUGGCAAGCGUUGUCCGGAUUUAUUGGGCGUAAAGCGAGCGCAGGCGGAAGAAUAAGUCUGAUGUGAAAGCCCUCGGCUUAACCGAGGAAUUGCAUCGGAAACUGUUUUCUUGAGUGCAGAAAAGGAGAGUAGAACUCCA
RNAcentral lists this ribosomal RNA (323 nucleotides) under uncultured bacterium. Its description in RNAcentral is "partial 16S ribosomal RNA". It matches the Rfam family "Bacterial small subunit ribosomal RNA", at positions 355 to 671 of the family's 1533-position model. The record is from RNAcentral.